GUGAAUCAUCAAAUUUUUGAACGCAAAUUGCACUCCCUGGUAUUCCGGGGAGUAUGCCUGUUUGAGGGUCUGUAAAACAAAAAUCGAAGCUGCUCUCUUUUGUUUUAAGGGUGAAAUCGGGUGAAUUUAACCGUCUUUCAAAUUUUAAGUCAUAUCAAAUUUGCUUUAAAUUCAUGAAUCCGUUACGGUUAAAGCGUAUUUAAGAUCUACUUUGAUUGAGAACUCUCAAUGAUCAUACCA
This 240-nucleotide unclassified non-coding RNA is filed under the name Glomeraceae sp. RNAcentral's name for it is "partial contains 5.8S ribosomal RNA and internal transcribed spacer 2". The stretch from base 1 to 71 matches the Rfam family "5.8S ribosomal RNA", at positions 84 to 154 of the family's 154-position model. The record is from RNAcentral. Lineage: Eukaryota; Fungi; Glomeromycota; Glomeromycetes; Glomerales; Glomeraceae.